RNAcentral lists this ribosomal RNA (864 nucleotides) under uncultured bacterium. RNAcentral's name for it is "bacterial SSU rRNA". It matches the Rfam family "Bacterial small subunit ribosomal RNA", at positions 30 to 872 of the family's 1533-position model. The record is from RNAcentral.
UCAACGCUGGCGGCGUGCCUAACACAUGCAAGUCGAACGCGAAAGCCCCGCAAGGGGGCAAGUAGAGUGGCAAACGGGUGAGUAACACGUGGGUGACCUGCCUUCGAGCGGGGGAUAACGUCCCGAAAGGGACGCUAAUACCGCAUAACAUCCUGCCUUUGAAGAGGUGGAGAUCAAAGCUGGGGAUCGCAAGACCCGGCACUUGAAGAGGGGCCCGCGCCUGAUGAGCUAGUUGGUGGGGUAACGGCCUACCAAGGCAACGAUCAGUAUCCGGCCUGAGAGGGCGGACGGACACACUGGGACUGAGACACGGCCCAGACUCCUACGGGAGGCAGCAGUGGGGAAUUGUUCGCAAUGGGCGCAAGCCUGACGACGCAACGCCGCGUGGAGGAUGAAGAUUUUCGGAUCGUAAACUCCUGUCGAAUGGGACGAACAGAUUGCGGGUGAACAGCCCGUAGUCCUGACGGUACCGUUAAAGGAAACCCCGGCUAACUCCGUGCCAGCAGCCGCGGUAAUACGGGGGGGGUAAGCGUUGUUCGGAAUUACUGGGCGUAAAGGGCUCGUAGGCGGCCAACUAAGUCAUACGUGAAAUCCCUCAGCUUAACUGGGGAACUGCGUGUGAUACUGGAUGGCUUGGAUUUGGGAGAGGGAUGCGGAAUUCCAGGUGUAGCGGUGAAAUGCGUAGAUAUCUGGAGGAAGCACCGGUGGCGAAGGCGGCAUCCUGGACCAAUAUUGACGCUGAGGAGCGAAAGCUAGGGGAGCAAACGGGAUUAGAUACCCCGGUAGUCCUAGCCCUAAACGAUGAAUGCUUGGUGUAGCGGGUAUGGAUCCCUGCUGUGCCGACGCUAACGCAUAAGCAUCCGC